This is a long non-coding RNA of Oncorhynchus tshawytscha (Chinook salmon), 583 nucleotides long. Lineage: Eukaryota; Metazoa; Chordata; Actinopteri; Salmoniformes; Salmonidae. The record is from Ensembl.
AGACUGACAGCGAGGAGGUUUUAACCCAGUCACACAGUAUAGUGGAGAGGGAAGGGUCUCUCAGUCACCCUCAGACUGACAGCGAGGAGGUUUUAACCCAGUCACACAGUAUAGUGGAGAGGGAAGAGUCUCUCAGUCACCCUCACACUGACAGCGAGGAGGUUUUAACCCAGUCACACAGUAUAGUGGAGAGGGAAGAGUCUCUCAGUCACCCUCACACUGACAGCGAGGAGGUUUUAACCCAGUCACACAGUAUAGUGGAGAGGGAAGAGUCUCUCAGUCACCCCCAGACUGACAGCGAGGAGGUUUUAACCCAGUCACACAGUAUAGUGGAGAGGGAAGGGUCUCUCAAUCAGGAAGACGGCAUUGUUCACAGUGAGGAGACAGACAGAGUCCCGGAAAAGACAGGAACAGGGGAGGAGACAGAGGAGAGGAGGGAUAGUGGUUCAGAAACCAGGACAGAGACAGAGGAGAGGAGGGAUAGGGGUUCAGAAACCAGGACAGAGACAGAGGAGGGGGAUCGGGGUUCAGAAACCAGGACAGAGACAGAGGAGAGGAGGGAUAGUGGUUCAGAAACCAGGAC